This 14313-nucleotide long non-coding RNA is filed under the name Musa acuminata (dwarf banana). RNAcentral's name for it is "long non-coding RNA (MACU_LNC001857)". The record is from RNAcentral. Lineage: Eukaryota; Viridiplantae; Streptophyta; Magnoliopsida; Zingiberales; Musaceae.
UAUAUAUAUAUAUAUAUAUAUAUAUAUAUAUAGUGAUGGUGUCCGGUAACCAUGUUGGAGUGUUUCGCUUCGUUACCGAACCCAACCGACCCGACCAAAUACGAACACUGCGCGGCGCCCCGAAAGCAAAGUUGUCAGUGGCGUAUGGCUCGUUGCUUCCGCUCAGGGCCUUCCUUUCCCCUGGUGAAGCAUUUGCCUCGCCCUCCCCUGUCGACGCCUUCCUCCUCGUGCAAUCUAGAGAAUGAGCGCGCAGAUUAGAGCGAUGGGGUCUCCGUGCCCUACGGAGCGAGAUAAUGAUGUGAGGUUUUCUUUAUGUGUUCUUUGCCUCCGUGAUUCGUUUUGCCUCCGAAACAGAUUUUAUGCGUCAAAGGACUGCCUUUUCUUUUUCUUUCUUUUCCUUCCACCUAUUUUUAUAUUUCUCAUUCUUGAUAACGUCGAUGGUUGGUAGAUUCUGACUGAAUGCUGAUAAUCAUUCAAAAAACGGAUCUUUGAUUCAAUUUGUCAGUAAUUAAUACAUUGGUCAGAAAAUUGUAGCGCCAGAAGUAGAAAUUGGUGUGAUAUUAGGUCAAGUUAUUCUGGUUUCGUGUUGUUGCUGAAGAAAACAAUGCUAUUAGUUCACGGUACAUUGGGGUAAGGUUAGUUGGACCAUUCUUUUGGGUCAUGGUACAUGGUAAACUUCUUCUGUGGGUUGCUUGUUACAUUACACAAGACAUUAUAGUCAUGCUAGUCAUUAGUCAAUAGUUUUGUGUCCAAUUAGGUUGAAAAUAUUAGUGGUAGGUGUUAGUAAACCUUUACACCGUGGUUGAGGUGUCAGCACGACUUGGUCAUAUCCUGGAUGCGCAAGGUUGUCCACGAGGAUACUCGGGUGAUGGAAGCGAGUGUCGGGUCUGGCUAAGUUUGACACUCGUCUCCGAACGUGGUCCUUCUUAUCGGUGAGUGGUCCGCUCCGACAUCGCCAGGUUCAUGCACACAGGUUGAAGUCGGGAGGGGACUUUCCCGAUUCAACCCCUCCGAAGAUUAAGUAAGUAUUAGUGGAGUCUACGGAAAUCUCCGUCAUGCCGAUCAGGGGAUUGACUUUAUACCUGCAAGUGAGGGUCGGUCGUACGUGAUCUGAUGUUGACGGCCAACUCCUCAGGCGACUGACCUGCAAGGAACGACACCGCGCGACACUGUUCUGAGCUUUCCGGAGCGAUUCUGUACUGUGCGGCGUUGUCUCAUAUGACUCCGGACGGUGCGGGAGGGGGCGACCGCCCAUCCGAGUUCGAGCUGCCACAUUGAUGCGAUGCACCAUCUCUGCGCUGAUUUGUUUGCUGACUGUGGCUAUGGGGGCGAUACUAGAAUAUGCCCUAUCACUCUCUCCCUCGUCCGCGCAUCCGGUCAUCGAGGAGUGUCUUUGGUGGUGGGGGAUCUCGCCAUCUCAUAUGGCGCCCAACUCAUGGCGUUACCUGGUGGUCUUCCUCGGGGAAUGCUGAAGCGUGGGGAUCGACCCGACUCGAACGCUUUUCUUGAUGUGUUUUCACUUGUGCAAGGGUCGAGGCGGGACUACCUGACUGCUCAAAGUGGCUUCAACGUCAGUGGCACUCCUUGUAAUAAUAAGGGGUGGAAGGCUCGUCACUUCUUUGUCAGCUACAGUCGGGGAUGGGGGUUUAACGUUGGGUGGACCUCCCAAGUCAUCAACAAUGUUCCCCCAUUUCUCUCUUUCGAAGAGGCCGGGCGUGUAGGGUGUUUGAGGGAGAUCUUGUCUUCUUCCCAAGCAAUUAGGGGCACAUCCGAGGAGUGGCUGGUCGAAGUGGGACUCAGCCCGGCCCCGAGGGGUACGACUGAACUUGUAGUCUUUUUAAGUUUUCUUUUUUUUGCUCUUCGUAUGUUACUGACCUCGUUGCAACUUGUAGAGAUGGUGAACCUAAAGUCGCUGAAGGGGAUGCUUCGCUCCUCGGUGAUGACGCAACCAUCCCGAGAGGGCAACAAGCGCAACUCCGAAGUUCCUGUGAGAAAGAGCACGUCGGUGCGUCAGACGGGGUCUCUAAAGGAGGCCAAGGUGGGUUGGCCAAAGAAAAAACCCAAGGUCAGGACCCGAAAAGACUCUGAAGGCGGUGACCAAGGAGACUGCGGCUCAUGGAAUGUUCGAGUUGGGUGGCCCCUCGCAAGGCAAGGGCUCGACGAGCGCUCGAGGAAAGGGACAUGUUGUGUCUUCAGGUGACGACCCCUCGAGCAGGAAGACGGCACGACCUAAGUCAUUUCAAGCCCUCAGCAUGGCCGACCUGCCGGAGGGGGAACCAGGGGCGCUCUACAACUCGUGUUGGCUGACCCUUAAGGCAGAGAGUCAGAUGUGGGCUAACGAACCGGUGGCCCAAGAAUUUUCCUGCGAUGCGCUUUAUCCGGUCAUGGCGAAGUAGUUGUACUGCUCGUUGUCCAUGGUGCUGAUGGAUCAGGUGGUGAAGUCUCUCGUAUGGGUAAGUUCGAUACUUUUCCCUCCGACCCGAAGGUUGGUUCUAAUGUGCUUGCUGGCGCAGAACCAACACUAUACCAUGGCCCUGAUCAAGGUUCGCAAUACCGUACCGUACCGGAGUUUCGAUCUGGGCUCGGUACCGGUACGGUACGGUAUACCGCUCGGUACACCCAGGUGUAUCGAGCGGUAUAUUCAGGCGUGCCGAGCACUGUAGCACUGUAGCACUGCUACAUCACUACUACAGUACUGCUACAGUGCUGCUACAGUGUCGGAACGGUAACAUACGGUCCGCGUACCGAAAGUCUGUCGGACCGGUACUGCAAACCAUGGCCCUGAUCGUGUCUAUGAUGUAGGCUGGGUAAUCGAGUGCCUGGGGGAGAUGAACUCCGACCUACAUCGGGAGGUCGAGGAACUGAAGAACAGGUCCGAUCCCGAAGUUGUGGUGGCAGCCGAGCAAUGGGACAUUGACUUAGAAACUGAGGUCGAGAGGCUAAAGUCCGAGCUGGGCGAGUCACAGUGCCAACUGAAGGAGUGUCGAGGGCGGAUUCGGAUGUUGGAUGACGAAUUGCUAACCCUUUCCCGAAAUGUCGAAACUGCCUGAUCUGCAUCACGAGCUGCCGAGGAGGCACUAGAUGAGGAACGUUGGGGGGCGUCGGAGAUGGCAAAGGAGGCGAUCACUGAGUACAAGUGGUCCCCCAGGUUCGAGCUUGGCAUGCAGAGGUUGGGGUUGGUGACAUAUGAAUUCAGGUACCAAGUGGCCCUUGCUCGAUUUCGGGCGAGGUACCCCGACCUCGAGGUAGAGCAAGAUCCCUUCGCCGACCUUCCCGAAGACCAAUAUAUCGAGAUGCCUGACGAGGUGCCUUUCGAUGACAGUCCUAAAGUUCCCCCGAGUUAUGGGGUUGUGUUUGUUUGUUUCUAUUUUUUGGCCUUGGUUGGGUCGAGUUUUGAACUGUAAGGCCUUGACUAAGCACAAUGUAUAUAUCUUUUACUUAAUAACAAGCGUGCUUCCUACAUUAAUUCUCCAAUGUCCUUGUCAAUAUUUUACCUUAAGGGUAAAAUUUUUUCAAAUUUAAGACAUGACACGUCCUCGAUAAGGGGCUUCCCUUUGUGGUCUCGAGUCGGUAAGUGCCGACUUGGACCUCGUCAAUCACCUGAUGUGGUCCUUCUCAGUUUGGCACAAGGUUUCUCCUAGCUCGGGUUGGGUCACUUCGGUCUUCCGUAGGAUGAGGUCUCCAACUUUGAUUUGGUGCGGGCGGACCCUGCAGUUGUAGAGGCGGGCUGUGGCCCUUUUAUACGCUAGGACACGUAGGUGCGCCUCAGCCCUUUGCUUAUCGAGGAGGUCGAGAUUGAUUUUGAGUCCCUCUUUCGAGGUACCCUCUUCAAAAUUCUCAACCCGUAGGGAUAGGAACAUCAUUUCGGGCGGCAGUACCACCUCGGUUCCAUAUGCCAAAUUGAACAGUGAUUCCCUCAAGGUAGUUUUGGGGGUGGUUUAGGACGUUCAUAGAACGCUCGGGAGUUCUUUGACUCAAGCGCCAUGGGCCCCUGUUAUCCUCUUCUUCAGGCCCUCCAAUAUAGCUCGGUUGGUGACUUCGGCCAAGCCAUUGGUUUGGGUGCGCGACCAAGCUAAACUUCAAUCGUAUCCCGUAAGACUAGCAGUAUGCUUUGAAUUUUAUGUUAUUGAAUUGAGCUUCAUUAUCGACGAUGAUGGCCCUCGAGAUCCCGAAUCGGGUGAUGAUAUUCUUCCAAACAAACCCCUCAACCUACCUCUCCAUGAUGGAGGCUAAUGGCUCGGCUUUGACCCAUUUAGUGAAGUAGUCGACUCCAACUAUGAGGAAUCUCUGCUGCCCCGAAGCAGGGGAAAUGGUUAGAGGAGAUCCAGGCCCCAUUGGGCGAAGGGCCAGGCAGAGUCUAUUGGGGCAAGAGGGACCGCGGGCUAGUGCUGUACCCGAGCAUGCUUCUAGCACUAUUAGCAUCGUUGCACGUAUGAUAGGGCAUCUCAACGUAUGGUUGGCCAGUAGUACCCCUAUGUGAGAAUUUUGAAAGCUAAGGUUCGACCACCGAUGUGCUCUCCACAAAUGCCUUCGUGAACUUCUACGAGGAUUGUCUCGGCUUCGAGGGGUGCCAAGCAUCGAAUGAGAGGUUGGGAGAAGGCUCUAUGGUAUAGUUUCCCAUUAGUUUUGCAGUAGCAUGUCUCGAUGCAUCUAAGUCGUCGAGCAGCGGCUCGGUUGAUGGGCAGUGCCCCUUCUCUUUUGUAGCAGGGGAUCUCCUCCAUCCAACUAAGGGUGGCUUCGAUUGUGGCGAUGCCUAUGGUCGAGACGGUCGGGGUUAAGAGGACCUCGGCCUUUGGGGGAGUCCCUUUGAACCAUGGGUGGAGGCCAGUUUGUCCAAUGCGUCGGCCUGCGCAUUCUCGACUAGGGGUAUCCUUGCAAUCGAGAGACGACGGAAAUGAUCGGCUAGUCGCCGCACCUCGGCUAGGUAUCAUGCCAUGGUUGGUUCACGAGCCUUGUAGCUCCCAUUGAUGUGACCCACGACUAAUUGCGAGUAACUGAAGGCCUCCAGGUCUUGCACGUGCAUCUCUAGGGCGAGGCGUAGCCCUGACAACAACACCUCAUACUCGGUCUCGUUGUUGGUGGCCUUGAACUUAAGUCGAAGUGCAUGUUCAUAUGCUUGAUCGUCCGGGCCUCUAAGGACGAGCCCUGCCCCUGCUCCCUCCGAGGUGGCAGAUCUAUCCACGUACAAGGCCCAAGUAUCCCUGGAACGUCCCUGUUCGCCAGGCCACUCGUCGGGUGUUAGCUCGGAAAUGAAAUCGGCCAAUACUUGAGCUUUUAUGGUGGCUUUGGGGGCAUAUUAGAUGUUGAACUCCUCGAGCUCGAUCGACCAUUUUAGCAUCCGACCGGAUACGUCAAAUUUAGAGAGGAUCUGUCAUAAUGGUUGGUCGGUGAUUACCUUUACCAUGUGGGCUUGGAAGUAUGGUCGUAGCUUCCUGGCUGUCUUCACUAGCUCUAUCACCAACUUCUCGAUCGGAGGAUAUCGUUCUUGGGGUCUAGCGAGGAUGUGGCUGAUUUAGUAGACAGGUUGUUGUGUUGCUGAGCUCGCUCAUACCAGCACCAAGGUAAUCGCUUGUUCGAAGGCUGCCAGGAAAAGGUCGAGUGUUUCACCCGGGUCGGGCGAGGCGGGCCAAGGUAGUCUAUAACAUUCCUCGUUUCUAAAUUUUCGUAUAAGUUUCAAACUAUAAUGUAAGUAUCCAUUUUGAAUUCUAUAGAAGAGCCUAAAUAUAAAUCUAAGAACCUAUGUAUAAAAUUUGAGGACCUAUUUGUAAAUUCUAAGGACCUAAUCAUAAAUAUAAAUAAUACAAAGACUAAACUAUAAAAUACAUAAAAAAUAAUAAAUUCCACCACCUAAGCCUCUCUGCCUUCGUUCCUAAGGAACAUGAGAAGGCAACUUGUGUUGGAGAAGAGUGGAAGAGAGAAAGAAGAAAAAAAAAGAAGAAGAGGAGAAAUCUAGGGCUUUGGGCUUUUUGAUCCCAAAUGAGAAGAUUUGAGUAACAAGACCCAAAGCCUCAUUCAAAUUUUACAUUCUUUUGAGUUAGUUUGGUGAGAGGUUGUGCAGUUCGAGAGAAUCCCUCCAUAAAUCUCCUAUAAUAACCCAUCAUGCCCAAGAAGCUUCUAAUUUUUGUCACAUUUGUUGGUAUUUCCCACUUAACUAUAGCUUCCACUUUUUUUGGAUCAAUAGAUAUGCCCUUCCCUGAAAUCACAUGGCCUAAGAAAGCAACUUCAUUCAACCAAAAUUCAUAUUUACUAAACUUUGUAUACAAUCUUUUUUCUUUUAGUAUGGAUAAUAUAUUUCUCUCAAGUGUUUCUCAUGCUCCUGAUCACUCAUUGAAUACACUAAUAUGUCAUCAAUAAAUACAAUUAUACAGUCAUCCAAAAGUGGUUGAAAUAUCCUAUUUAUCAGCUACAGUAAUCUUAAUCUUUAUUUUUAUUUUAAUUAUGAAUAAUUCGAAAGAUUUUAUUUUAGCACAAGAUAUUUCUCUCGUUUAGAUAAAAAACUAUGAAUCUGAAAUUUUUCGAUAAUCUGACCUUUAUGCAUUGUUUUAGACCUAACUUUUAGUACCGAACUCUAAUUUUGGCCAAACCUAAUUUAUUUAAAAGUAGACUCAAAGAUCUUUCUUUUAAUAUCAUAUUGAAAGAUUUGGAAUAUAAAUAUCUACCCAGUUAUUUAUUGAAACUAACUCUAUGAAUUCCAUAAAAUAGAGAUUUUUGAUAUUUGACCUUUGGUUACCAAAUCAUUUGUAACUCUUCUUUAGAAACUUCAAUUUAUAUGAAACUUAUUUUAUCUGAAAGUAGAUUGAAAUAUAUUUCUAAUGAUAUUUUUCUUGAGUAAAUUAGAGCAUAAUUGAUAAUUUAAAUUAUUUGUUCAAUGUUCCUCUCAAAUUAUGUCAGAAUCGCGCUUUGGUUGAUUUCGCCUAUUCUUAUUUCAUUCCUUUCGACAUUGAAUUUAUCUAGCAUUCUUUCUUCAAUUAAGCUAUAUAUGAUUGCUUAGAAUCUUUGUAUGCUCUUGCCUUUAUUUUCUUUCAAAUUUGAAUGCAAUUGCGAAAGAUUAUGUUUGCAUCGUAUUGACUCAUAAAGGCACAUGUACGUUUCGUUGUUUCGCAUCUGCUUCCGAUAUGUGCUAAUUUUAUUUUUUAUAAUUUCUUUUUGUGCUUUGAUGUUUAUGGGAUAAUGUGAACCUUUGCUAAAAAUGAUAUCACUCAGACAUUGGUGGAUGAAGCUCCCAAACGUGGGAGACUUAUGUUUGUUGGUCAUUCAGAAAUGGAUGGAUCAUAUUCUGUUAUGAUCCCACUUUACCUUUUAUAUGUUUGAUAUGAUAUCCAGAGCUUUGGUUAUGUGCUUCUAUACGUAUUUUGGAUAAGAAUGAAAUGAAUGCAAUGUCAAAUAUGACGUUUGAGCUUAUGUUUCAUAUUUAUUCUUUGAUAUGUUCCGAAAUGCUUCUUAUGCCUCUGAGAUAUUCAUACGUCAUUGAUACGCUUUGAAAUAUUCUAUAAGUCAUUAAUAUGCUCCGAAACAUUUCAUACGCCAUUGAUAAGCUCCGAAAUGUUUCAUUUGUUAUUUGAUAUGCUCUGAAAUAUUUCAUACACCCUUGAUAUACAUCAAAAUAUUUCAUAGGCUAUUGAUAUGCUCCAAAACAUUUCACACGCCAUUAAUAUGCUCCGAAAUAUUUCAUAUGUCAUUGAUAUACUCCGAAACAUUUCAUACAUCAUUGAUAUGCUAUAAUUACUCUUUACUCUAUUUGUUAUGAACCAAAUAUGUUUUAAAUGAAAUGUCAUUUAUGAUUCUGUAUCUAAUGAGAUGAUAUCUAUGAAUUCUUGUAUCCUGCCUUACACUUUGAUACUAAGCUAGCUUGAAACUUCUCACUUUGUCAUGGAUAUGUUAGUUGCUUGUUGAGCUUUGUAUACUCGCUCCAUUGCUAUAUAAAUCUUUCAGGUUAGGUUGUCAUUCACUGAGAUGUUUGAAUUGGGCUGAGAUAGUGGAGAGCUAUUUAUAUUUUGGGCAAGCCUUGUCGAUUGAUAUAUUAUUGUUAUUGUAUAAGCAUAUUUUGUAUGUAAUGAAAUAUUGUCGGUAGUGGAUGAUGAACCCGAGAAAUUUGUCGAAGCUGACCUUGAAGGCUCAUUUCGAAGGGUUCAACCGCAUGUUGAAUCACUUGAGGGUCUGGAAAGUCUCGGCAAGAUCGACCAAAUGAAUGCCAACCGUCUUGCUUUUGAUGAUCAUGUUGUCGACGUAAACUUCCAUGUUUUUCCUGAGUUGUUGCUUGAACAUUUCAUUGACCAUUCUCUGGUAUGUCGCUGUGGCAUUUUCUAGACCGAAGGGCACUACCUUGUGACAGUAUACCCCUCGGUCAGUGAUGAAAGUAGUGUGUUCUUGAUCCCGAGGUGCCAUUCGGAUCUGAUUGUAGCCCAAGAAUGCAUCUAUGAACGUAAGGAGAUCAUGCCCCGAAGUGGCAUCCACCAGCUGGUCUAUCAUCGGGAGUGGGUAGCAGUUCUUCGGGCACGCCCGGUUGAGAUCAGUGUAGUCAACGCACAUUCUCCAAUUUCCAUUAUUUUUCUUGAUGAGGACUACAUUAGACUACCACCGAGGGUAUUUCACCUCGAUUAUAAAUCCAGCUUCAAGUAGGCGAUCCACCUCGUUGCUGAUUGCUUUUUGUCAGUCUGGGGCGAACUUCCACGGUCUUUGCUUCACAAGACGUGCCCCAUGGAGAAUGUUGAGAUAGUGUUGUGUGACCUCGGGGUCGAUCCUUGGCAUGCCUUUCGGGGACCAGGCCAAUACAUCAACGUUCUUCAAGAAGUCGACGAGUUGGACCUGGUCUUUUUCUGGAAGUGUUGUCCCGACCUUAACAACCUUGUCAGGUCAUCCUUUUUCCAGGGGGAUCUCUAUCAUCUAUUCGGUCGGCUUUGGGUGAGGCAGUAUUUUAGUUGUAUCUCGGGGGUCCGAGAGGGACAGCUUAGGCCACAGCUUCUUUGGUAGAGUGAUCGCUGUCAGGUAACAUUGCCGGGACUCCCUUGGGUCACUUCUUACUACUCCGACCCUGACUUGGGUAGGGAAUUUCAUGGCUCGAUGGUAGGUAGAGACGACUGCCUUUAACUUGUUGAGGGUUGGUCGGCCGAGGAUGACAUUGUACGCGGAAGGUAGGUCGACCACCAUGAAGAUGAUCAUUAAUGUCUUAGACCUUGGCUCUUCUCCAAGAAUGAUGGGGAGGGAGGUGGUUCCGAGUGGAGAGAUGGAGUCUCCCAUAAAUCCUAUAAGCGUCAAGGCCAUCAGGGCGAGAUCUCCUUCCGUCAGGCCGAGCUUCUUGAAAACGUCGAAGUAUAGCACAUCGGCAGAGUUUUCGGUGUCGAGCAUCACCCUCUUCACUCGGGCAUUAGCGAUGCAGAAUGAGAUUACUAUGAUGUCAUCGUGGUCAGGGAACUCAACCUCUUCGGCCCUGAAGGUAAUCUCAGACCCAGAUCCCGACCUUGGGCAUUUCUCCACCGUGCUGCGGGCGUAGGCCUUCCGUCCCGACGUGCUAUCACCUCCAGAAGCCAGUCUGUCGAUGAUGACAUCAAUUUGCUUUUCGAUAGGGCCACUGGGACGAGGGGAUACUUCUCUUGGUUUUUUGAGAUAGCACCUAAGGUGUCCUCUACGGAUUAGAUCUUCGAUUUGGUUCUGGAGGUCAUGACAUUCUUCCGUGUCAUGGCCGUAUUCUCGAUGAAACCUACAAUAUUUAGAUCGAUUAUUGUGAGUAGCUUUUAUCAGGUUGGGCUCCCUUAGGAGUCCCUUCUCCUUAAUCCAGAGAAAGAUUUCAAUGCGGAAAGUAUUCUGAGGUAGAGGAGGGGACCUCGGGAGUGAUGGCUUGGGUCGAUCAGGCCUCCUCCGAGAUUGUCCCACAGAUAGUCCCGAGGAUGCCCCUCAGGGUUGCUCCGUGCGAGGCCUCUUGUUGUCUUCACGUUUCCUCGCCAUCAGUAUCUUGGCGGCGAUGUACUAGUUGGCGUGCUGGAGCAUCUCGGGAACAGUUGUGGGUGGUCUUUCAACCAGCGAUCAAAAAAACCUUGAGGGCCACAAACCCAUCAGGAACGCCUGCAUGAUCAGGGAAGGAUGAGCAUCCGGGACUCCUCGGAUCUUGGAGGUGAAGCGUGUGACGAAUUGAGAGAGAGAUUUGUCGUCACUUUGGCACAACCCAAGGAGCGUGGCUAUGGAAGGCUUGGCUCGCGAGCUGGCUAGGAAGUUCUGUAGGAAUUCCUUUACGAGUUAAUCAAAAGAUGAGACCGAGGUUGGCUGUAGCCGGUUGAACCACGUCUGAGCCGGUCCUCGGAGGGUGGUGGGAAAAGCCCGACACAUGAGGGCAUCAGAAGUGUCAUAGAGGGCCAUUUGGACCUGGAAUGCGGCGACAUGCUCUGCUAGGUCGGACUCGCCGUCAUACAUCUCUAGAGUAAGGAGGUGGAAGUUGAGGGGUACAAGCUUAUCUUGGAUUUCCUGGGUGAAAGGAGAUCCUCCCGAGUGGCUUUCUGCGGCCUCAUCCCUUGAUCUGUGAAAUUCUUGUUGAAACUCAUCUAGACGUCGAUUCACAAGAGACAACUAAGCCCUGAAAGAGUCGUCGGCCGAGUCCGAUGACAAGGUAUCGAGCCUGGGGAAUGGCAGCAUGGUUAGGCAAGACAUGGGGGUGCUUCGUUCGGGUGCCAUUCUUGGAUCUCCGAUCCGCUCCUCGGUCUCGUCAUGAGGAAUUGGGGCUCAAGGUGAUACGUUGGCUGGAGGAGCGUUGGGGGCCGGCAGUGGGGGAGCCGUCUGUUGGAUGAGCUAUGGGAUGAGCGGGAUGAUUGUCUGCAUCAUUCCUGCUAAGGCUUGAACCCGCUUGGUGAGGGUAAGGAAUGCCUUAAGUGAGAUGACUGGCGGUCCCGAGGCAUUUCCAGGGGGGAGGAGGAAAUUGAGGUCAUUGAAUAGGCGUCAGUAGUGAUCUGGUGUUUGGGUCAUGACGCCCCCAUCUUUGUGCGGGAUAAGGGGUGGUUGCCCCCCGAGCCCAUAGGCGGGGUGGACUGCUAGCUGCUCUUCACUAGAACGAGCUUCAGGAUUGACCGUGAUCGGACACUCCUGUGACAUCGGGCCCUCCUUCUAGUGUCAAAAUGUUAGUGAACCUUUACGCCGUGACCGAGGUGUCAGCAUAGCUUGGUUGCGUCCCAAAUGUGCAAGGUUGUCCACAAGGAUGCUCGGGUGAUGGAAGCGAGCAUCGAGUUGGGCUGAGUUUGACACUCGUCUUCGAACUUGAUCCUUCUUAUCGGUGAGCGGUCCGCUCCGACGACGUCGGGUUCCUGCACGCAGGUUGAAGUCAGGAGGGGGCUUUUUCGAUUCGACCCCUCUGAAGAUUAAGUAAGUAUUGAGUGGAGUCUAGGGAAAUCUCCCCCAUGCCGAUCAGGGGAUCGGCUUUAUACCUGCGAGCAAGGGUCGAUCGUAUGCGAUCUGAUGAUGGCGGCCGACUCCUCGGGCAGUCGGCUUAUACCUCUGUGUGUGUGCCGACCAACCUGCACGGAACGACGCUGCAUGGCGCCGUUCCGAGCUUUCCAAAGCGACUCUGUACUGUGCAGCGCUGUCUUGUACGACUCCGGAUGGCACGGGAAGCGGCACCCACUCACCUGAGUUCGAGGUGCCAUGUCGACGCGACGCACCAUCUCAGCCUCGAGGCUCCAUCUCUACGCUGAUUUGUUUGCUGACUAUGGUCACAAGGGGCGAUACCAGAAUAUGCCAUAUCAGUAGGCAACCUAAUAACUUUUAACUCGAUUAUGCUUUUUAAUUGUUUAGUUCUUUGCUGAUUUAAGCUUUAUGUGAAUGAACUUUUCAUUAGGACUGUACCCCUUCCAUGACUAAAAUUUGAAUUAUAUUUGUUAUAUUGAAGUGUCAAAUAUGGUGAUCAGAUCACAUAUCACUGUGUUAUGGGGCCACAAUUUGCAACAUCAGCUUAUUUGGAUAGAAGACGUUUAGUAUUGUGUAAGACAGGUGGUAGCCAUUUUCUCGGACCUAUAGUUUGAAAUUAGUCAUAAUUGACUGGCACUGAUCAAACCCAAUCUUAGUUGGCCAAUUUCGACCAAUUUUGAGUGAUCUCAUGGCCUCAAAAGAAAAAAAAUGAAGAGGGGCAGGAAGGAAGGCAAGGAAUAAGAGGAAGUCAAGGUGGAAGAAACAUGUAACUAUAAAUGUGGAAUACUGGAGACAUUGCUACCAUUUCAUUUGUUCUUCAUCGCAACUAUUGUAUUUCUUGUCUAUCACCAUUACAAUAUUCUCUUUAUCCACCACCAAUAAAAUAGAGGGGAUGGGUACAAGCGAGGAGAGAGGCAAAGAGGAUCCCUUAAAUAGAUAUGCUAUAAUAGAUAAGAGGGGUAUCAUGAGAUUUGCAAUUAAAUAUUAAAUUUUAUUGGCACUCUCAUCAAAUACAUUUUUUUCUUUCGUUGCUUUUGCAUUGUCUAACACCGCCAAUUUGGUGAUUAAAUAAUCUAAAAAGGACAGUCGAGUACAAAAGGCUCCUGCCAUUGUGAGAUCUGAGAAGGAUCAAUAUAUGCAGUUUUACCCAUAUAGUUAGCCCUCCUUUUGAUUAGAGAAGUUCUUACCCAAUAAUUCUACUGCUGGCCAGUGCCAUUAUCUCUUUUAUUAUGCAUAAUUGCACCAAAUAACUUGGUCGACCUUCUUAGGACUCCUUGAACUGUCACCAGCUUGCGUUCCUAUAGCUUCUAUUAUUUCUCGAUGGAACUAGUAAAUUUAAUUCCUUUCAAGUGUUAUGUUGGUGUUUAUGUUGUAAAUCACAUAAUAUUUUCAAAUGAAUGCUUCCCAAUUGCAGGUUUCAGCAUGCAUGUAUUGUAAACUGAUCUCCCUCGACUAUAGAUUUGGAAAUAACCCAUGUCACGAAUCAUACACGACAGUGACUUGAAGAGACUAGAUCAGAGACACAAACUGUGGUCUACUGAAAUGCUGUUGGACUACUAUAUUCAUGAGCUUAGCAUACAAAUUGAAGUCCUGUUUCUUGUCAGAUACAAAAUUUGCAAAUAGAUUUAAAUGUAUGGUUUGAAACUAACUUUUAGAAGUGGACACUAUAUUCUUUGAAGUGGUACAUGAAGCUGGUUCAUCUUUUAAGGUCCAUGAUAGGUGUGACAGUUCUUUGCAUAGUGAAUUCACUGAAUUCUUAUUUCUGUACUUUCUUCAAGACUAUCAGGUUAUUGAGGACCGAAUAAUCUUUAGUUACAAGUACUUUGUCUAGUUAAAUUCAUAGUUUUGGAUUAAUGGAUUAUAGUUUUCUAUAUUCUGCAUAUUGGAUGCAUCAAAAAACAGUAUGAUAACAUUCAACAUUAUAAUACAAAGCAAAUAGGCCAGUUGAAAUCCAAAGCUCAUUGUGGCAGGUUGCUGCAACUUUAAGCUAGUCAAUCUUGUUUUUUUCCCCGAAAUGUUGACACAAAAAAUGCACAAGCAUUGAGGAUGCAACUUCUCUCGUGGUUGCUGAUUUCCUUUUUUUCUUCAAGCCAACGCCAGAGUUUGCUUCUUCUUGUUGCUUCAUAUUGGUUUAUUUCCAUUGUCCUCCCCACGGCAAUCUACUAGCGAAGCAUGUGUAUUUGUCGAAUCAUAUUGGCAGCUUCAUAGUAGAUAAGUUUGUGGUCUAAAUUAUCUUUAUUCCAUUUAGAUUGUAGGCUUUUCAUGGAGGGAUUGUGUAAUUAAUUUAGCUUGAUGUUUUACAUAAUUACAAACAGCAUAUGUUAGCUAUGUUUUCAAUGAUACCUGAUCCAUAAUCAGGUGAAUGAUCCAUGUUUGUAGUACAGAACGGUAAGUGUACAUUGGAGACCAACUCAAAUUUUCUUGUGCCACAGGAUUGCUCUCUAUAUUUGCUGAAGCAGGAAGAUACCAUUUGCUGGUGCUUAUCAACCCCAUCUUGCAGCAGGUUUUGCGAGGGAGAAUUGAUUGCUUACCAGAUUUUGGUUAGCGUGGAGAGAUUAUGUACACCUUAUAAGGCAGAUUCAAGUUUUGGCAUUCUAAUUUUGCUGAAACUGGACUUGUGGAAACACUAGCAGGCCAUUCUUUUGUCAAUGCCUAUCUGCACAGUAAUCUCUCAAGUAUUUCUGAUCUUCAGAGUGCAGGAGGAUCAUUUGGUUUUGGCAUGGCAGUCUUUUGGUAGGUCCAUUAAGCACAAUAUGUUUCAAUUCUUGAAAGUUCACAUAUCUGUUUUGAUUUAUGCAGCAAUGCUUUGGUUUUUUAUUGUUGGAAUCAAGAACAAGUGUUUAUUUCAUAUGAGAAUACCUUUGGUUGUAGGAACAAUUGAUAUGACACUCUUUUUCAGAAGUACCAUUAUUACCAGGUCCAUUUGUG